GGCCGCGGGAAUUCGAUUCAGGCCUAACACAUGCAAGUCGAGCGGACCGAUGGGAGCUUGCUCCCUUAGGUCAGCGGCGGACGGGUGAGUAACACGUGGGUAACCUGCCUGUAAGACUGGGAUAACUCCGGGAAACCGGGGCUAAUACCGGAUGCUUGAUUGAACCGCAUGGUUCAAUCAUAAAAGGUGGCUUUUAGCUACCACUUACAGAUGGACCCGCGGCGCAUUAGCUAGUUGGUGAGGUAACGGCUCACCAAGGCGACGAUGCGUAGCCGACCUGAGAGGGUGAUCGGCCACACUGGGACUGAGACACGGCCCAAACUCCUACGGGGGGCAGCAGUAGGGAAUCUUCCGCAGUGGACGAAAGUCUGACGGAGCAAAGGCGCGUGAGUGAUGAAGGUUUUCGGAUCGUAAAACUAUAGGGUUAGGGAAGAACAAGUACCGUUCGAAUAGGGCGGUACCUGAC
RNAcentral lists this ribosomal RNA (466 nucleotides) under uncultured bacterium. RNAcentral's name for it is "bacterial SSU rRNA". It matches the Rfam family "Bacterial small subunit ribosomal RNA", at positions 39 to 483 of the family's 1533-position model. The record is from RNAcentral.